This is a long non-coding RNA of Lotus japonicus, 2025 nucleotides long. RefSeq lists it as uncharacterized. Lineage: Eukaryota; Viridiplantae; Streptophyta; Magnoliopsida; Fabales; Fabaceae. The transcript has 7 exons. The record is from RefSeq and is a predicted model, not a curated record.
GCUGAACGACGAACGGAGUGGCACAGAUUUGAGCAGGGGUCGUCAACGGCGUGAACGGCAGCCGCCAAAGCACGGAUCGAACGAGUGGUGAAAUAGUGAAAGUGAAAAAUCAGCCCCAAAUGCCCAACGCUCAACGCCAAAGCUCAAAUUUAUCGAUUCCAGAAAAACUUGAUUAUGAUGCAUAUGAGCGUUUGUGCGUUUAAAAAAACACUGAUAAUUCACGUUGAUUGCAACGCACGUUUGGCCUCCGAAACGCCAAUCCAAACGGGCCCUAAUCUAUAUAUCUAUAUAUAUCUAUAUAUAUAUAUUAAAGCAGUAACAUUCCAAGCAUGCCAUUAUCAAAAACCUCAGCUCCUGAAUAUUUUACAAUAUUUUAUUCUCUUUCGUUUGCACCACAACACGACACGUGUCUAAUUUAGAUUAUUAUAUUCAGAUUUAUUCCUCCAUCCUUUCAUUCAUUUUCUCUCUCCCAAUAUCUCAUUCACAUUACAUUUAAUGAAUUCGUCUCUCUCAUCUCUCCUCCUUUUCACCAAUGUGGCUUCUCUCUCCCCAAUAUUUUUUUGAACUCUUCUCUCUCCCCAAAUAUUAUUCCCAUGCUUCUCUCUCUUUCCAUCAACCCAUGAUUUCAAAUUUAUCCUAAUUUCAAUUAAAAUCUUCAAUAUAUCAAGGUUGUUUCCAAUGCCUCAUUAUUUGUCUCUCUCUCUCUCUCAUAUCUCCUCCUUUCCAAUACCACCGCCCCCAUUAUCUUUAUUUUGGCCAAUUACAUGUGUGCAUUCCCACUUUUGGAUUAAUUGAUACAUCUACAAUUUUCCAGGUCUUUCUAUUUCCAUUUUAAAUUUUGGUUUUAUUUUUAUGGUUCUAAAAAUUGAAAUAUAUAUGUGAAACCUGUUAUGCAUUAGGUUUUGAUAUGAAUUCACCAGCUCCUUGGAAUACAAAUUAGUUCAUGUUGAUGAGUAAACUUGGCUUCAAUUUCCUAUAAUGUUUUUCUUAACACAGAAUAUAUUUCAGUUUUUUGUUUUCAUUUUUGCGUGUGUUCUGAGCUGAUUAGGUAGUAAAAAUAUUUGAUUUUGGCUUAUCCUAUUUCAGUUGUUGAUUAUUUUGGAUAUUGGGUUCUGAGCCUCUUGGGCAUGCACGGUUCACCAUUUUUCUGCAAGGUGUAAAUAGUGGUCUUAAACAUAUUCCAGUUAGCAGAGUCACUUUUCUAGAUGGCGUUUGCUCUGGCAGUGUUGUUGUGAAGGUGAUUCGUUUCUGGUCGUGUCCUACCUUAGAAGUGAAUGCAGCUUUGAACCAUUUUUCGUCUCUGCCUCUUCUUCAAUCCUUAUGGUGAUGAGGUACCUGAUUUGAUGCUGAUUUCACCAACUCCAAUAUCGGUGUUGUAGAUGUUGGUCUUGAUGAACUAUUUGAGGUUCACAGGAAAAAAAUACUAAUUUGAACUUAAGCACCAGGUGGCUUGGAUGUAGGAGAAGAGAUUUAUUUGAGCAAGGCUCUUAAAGUAAAAGCCAUAUGAAAAGUUCAAGAAAUCAUGGUCAAGGAGAAUGUUCACCUUUGAGUAAUGUUUAAUCAUUCAGUAUAUAUCCCUCAAAGAGUGUUUGGUGUUUCAUGUAAGGAUGCAUGAGUUUUAGGUGAAGUGCAUAAUGGUUGGUACAUAGAGAAGGACAUUUGGGGUAUUCCAUGAGAGAGCUUGAGCAUAAAAGAGGUUAGAGAAGCAAGCCAUUGAGAGAGCAUGAUUCAUUUAAAUUCCCAUUUUUUUUGGCUGCAGAUUGCAUAAAUGGGGGCAAGCCAUUGAUAGCAAUCCAACUUCCAACUUUUGCCAUUCCUAAUUUUCUAUAAUAUGGAACAAGGAUUCAAGUUUAUGACGAUCUUCGAAGAGCUAAGGAAGUAAAUACGCCCCCUUAAUUCCAUUUGUCCAUCCCCCCAAAUCAUGCUUAGGCCCCAUUUAUAUUCUUUAAAUUUCCAACAAUGGUACCCCUUUUUAGAAUCAAUCCUAACCUUAAAUAAUGAUGAUAUUUAUUUUAUUUUGCUUCA